GGACCCGCACAAGCGGUGGAUGAUGUGGAUUAAUUCGAUGCAACGCGAAAAACCUUACCUACCCUUGACAUGCCAGGAAUCCCGGAGAGAUCUGGGGGUGCCCGAAAGGGAGCCUGGACACAGGUGCUGCAUGGCUGUCGUCAGCUCGUGUCGUGAGAUGUUGGGUUAAGUCCCGCAACGAGCGCAACCCUUGUCGUUAAUUGCCAUCAUUUGGUUGGGCACUUUAAUGAGACUGCCGGUGACAAACCGGAGGAAGGUGGGGAUGACGUCAAGUCCUCAUGGCCCUUAUGGGUAGGGCUUCACACGUCAUACAAUGGUCGGUCCAGAGGGUUGCCAACCCGCGAGGGGGAGCUAAUCCCAGAAAGCCGAUCGUAGUCCGGAUUGCAGUCUGCAACUCGACUGCAUGAAGUCGGAAUCGCUAGUAAUCGCGGAUCAGCAUGUCGCGGUGAAUACGUUCCCGGGUCUUGUACACACCGCCCGUCACACCAUGGGAGCGGGUUCUGCCAGAAGUAGUUAGCCUAACCGCAAGGGGGGCGAUUACCACGGCAGGGUUCGUGACUGGGGUGAAGUCGUAACAAGGUAGCCGUAGGGGAACCUGCGGCU
RNAcentral lists this ribosomal RNA (603 nucleotides) under uncultured Rhodocyclaceae bacterium. RNAcentral's name for it is "bacterial SSU rRNA". It matches the Rfam family "Bacterial small subunit ribosomal RNA", at positions 917 to 1519 of the family's 1533-position model. The record is from RNAcentral. Lineage: Bacteria; Pseudomonadati; Pseudomonadota; Betaproteobacteria; Rhodocyclales; Rhodocyclaceae.